UGUAGUAUGGUGUAAAGUUGUGUAGUAUGUUGUAAAGUUGUGUAGUAUGUUGUAAAGUUUUGUAGUAUGGUGUAAAUUGUGUAGUAUGUUGUAAAGUUUUGUAGUAUGGUGUAAAGUUGUAACAUUUUGUAACAUGACGUAAAAUUUUGUAGUAUGUUGUAAGGCUGUACAGUUUUGCAGUAUUAUGUAACAUACUGUAGUAUGUUGUAAAGAUUUGUAGUAUGGUGUAAAGUUGUGUAGUAUGUUGUAAAGAUUUGUAGUAUGAUGUAAAGUUGUGUAGUAUGUUGUAAAGAUUUGUAGUAUGGUGUAAAGUUGUGUAGUAUGUUGUAAAGAUUUGUAGUAUGGUGUAAAGUUGUGUAGUAUUGUUGUAAAGUUUGUAGUAUGGUGUAAGGUGUGUACUAUGUUGUAAGAUUGUAAGUUUGUAACGUGUUUGAAGUUGUAAAGUUGUGUAGUAUGCUGUAACACAUUUUUCAUGAAUAAUUAUAACAACAUGUUUUAAUUCCUUAUGAAUGCAAUAUAUACGUAAAUAUAAAACGGAUGUGAUUCCUAGUACUGGUUCAGCAACACAACAGAACCGUAAUUUUUUUUCCACGAGUACACACCACCACAAUACACAGUAGAAAAAGUUAAAACUGUGACGAACACAAAGUAUAGUAAUGUUUUUGCAUGCUUUACACGACUCGAUAUUGUAGAUGUGCACAUUUAUUGAUGUCGAGAGAUUUACCUGGAUCUUUUCCAUCUGAGAUGCCGUUUUCAUGACUGGGCUCUCCAUCAGAACUUGGUCUGUCACAGGACAACUUCUGCAAGAGUCAUAAAAUAACAGAUUCAGAUACACAAAUACCCAGCCAGUGGCUUUUAAUUGUGUAAAAAAAGUGUGAAUAUACAGAUGGGUGACAAAUUAAAGAAAAAAUGUUGGUGUAACACUUUCUAUGAAGACUGCAUGUAUAACCAAUGACCUAUGAAUAUAUUCUUACAUUCGAACAUGGUUAUAAUGCUUUAUGAAAUAGGUGAUAACAAUGUUUAUAAUGCAUUUAUGAACUGUUAACAGAAUGCAUUAUAAGUGUUUAUGUGCAACAAUCACUGAUACAAAGUGAGUGUAUUAACAAUCACCAAUACCAGGUGAGUGUAAUCUGCUGAGUGUAGUUUUUUGUAGUAGGUUUUAAAGUUGUAAACGUACUACAAAAUCUUACAACUUUACUUGAAAAACCUGAGAACUUUACAAUGUACUACCAAACUUUACAACAUACUACAAAUUCUUACAACUUUACAACAUACUACAAAACGUGAGAACUUUACAACAUCUCUACAAAUUCUUACAACUUUACAACAUACUAUGAAACUUCACAGCACACUAUAAGACCUGAGACCUGUACAGCAUACCAGAAAACAUUACCCCUUCACAAUACACUACAAAAUGUUAAACAUUACUACAAAACCCGAUACCUUUACAGAAUACUACAAAAUGCUACUACUUUACAACAUACUACAAACCAUUUUAACAAACUCUAAAACCAGGAACUUUACAACACACUACAAACUUUACAUACUUCAACACCUGAGAACUUUGCAAUGUACUACCAAAUAUUACAACAUACUACAAACCUUAGAACCUUACCACAUACUAUAAAACUUUACAACAAUCUACAAAACCCGAGAACAUUACAGCAUAAUACAAAACUUUACGACAUACUACCAAACCGGAUGUAGUACAAAACUUUACGACAUUACAACAUAAUGUAAAACCAGAGAACUACACGACAUACUACGAAACGUUACAACUUUACAAGGUACUAUAAAACUUGACAACAAACCACAAACCUAAGAACCUUGCAACAUAUUACACAUUUAUAAUAUACUGCAAAGCUUCACAACAUACUAUAAAACUUGCAGUUUUAUACCUCAAACCUGAGAACUUUACAACAUACAACAAAACUACAACUGUUGUACAGAUGUAUUUAAUCGAUGUAAAGACAAACUGAAACGGUUCUUGCAGCUAAUUGUGGCUCGACACCUUACUAACACAACUAACACCCUUUAAUUUGUCACAACUGCAUUUAAUUAUGAGUUUUUAUUUGUAUUUAUUUUUUCAUUACAGAGAAAAGA
This is a long non-coding RNA of Ictalurus punctatus (channel catfish), 2103 nucleotides long. NCBI's taxonomy places the organism in Eukaryota, Metazoa, Chordata, Actinopteri, Siluriformes, Ictaluridae. The record is from Ensembl.